GAUGAACGCUGGCGGCGUGCCUAAUACAUGCAAGUCGAGCGAACGGACGAGAAGCUUGCUUUUCUGAUGUUAGCGGCGGACGGGUGAGUAACACGUGGAUAACCUACCUAUAAGACUGGGAUAACUUCGGGAAACCGGAGCUAAUACCGGAUAAUAUUUUGCACCGCAUGGUUCAAAAGUGAAAUACGGUCUUGCUGUCACUUAUAGAUGGAUCCGCGCUGCAUUAGCUAGUUGGUAAGGUAACGGCUUACCAAGGCAACGAUGCAUAGCCGACCUGAGAGGGUGAUCGGCCACACUGGAGCUGAGACGCGGUCCAGACUCCUACGGGAGGCAGCAGUAGGGAAUCUUCCGCAAUGGGCGAAAGCCUGACGCAGCAACGCCGCGUGAGUGAUGACGGUCUUCGGAUCGUAAAACUCUGUUAUUAGGGAAGAACAUAUGUGUAAGGAACUGUGCACAGAUUGACGGUACCUAAUCAGAAAGCCACGGCUAACUACGUG
Molecule: ribosomal RNA, 497 nt
Filed under: uncultured bacterium
Lineage: Bacteria
Description: partial 16S ribosomal RNA
Rfam family: Bacterial small subunit ribosomal RNA
Source: RNAcentral